CUCCCAGUGGCCCAGUUGGUUUAGCGCGUUCGGCUGUAAUUGUAAAAGGUUGUGGAUACCGAAAGGUCACCUGUUCGACUCAGGUCUGGGAGA
Molecule: transfer RNA, 93 nt
Filed under: Xylariaceae sp. FL0255
Lineage: Eukaryota; Fungi; Ascomycota; Sordariomycetes; Xylariales; Xylariaceae
Description: tRNA-Tyr
Rfam family: tRNA
About the family: Transfer RNA (tRNA) molecules are approximately 80 nucleotides in length. Their secondary structure includes four short double-helical elements and three loops (D, anti-codon, and T loops).
Source: RNAcentral